GGAAGGGAUGUACUUAUUAGAUUAAAAACCAAUGCCCUUCGGGGCUCACUGGUGAUUCAUGAUAACUCCUCGAAUCGCAUGGCCUUGCGCCGGCGAUGGUUCAUUCAAAUUUCUUCCCUAUCAACUUUCGAUGUUUGGGUAUUGGCCAAACAUGGUUGCAACGGGUAACGGAGGGUUAGGGCUCGACCCCGGAGAAGGAGCCUGAGAAACGGCUACUACAUCCAAGGAAGGCAGCAGGCGCGCAAAUUACCCAAUCCCGACACGGGGAGGUAGUGACAAUAAAUACUGAUACAGGGCUCUUUUGGGUCUUGUAAUUGGAAUGAGUACAAUUUAAACCUCUUAACGAGGAACAAUUGGAGGGCAAGUCUGGUGCCAGCAGCCGCGGUAAUUCCAGCUCCAAUAGCGUAUAUUAAAGUUGUUGCAGUUAAAAAGCUCGUAGUUGAAACUUGGGCCUGGCUGGCGGGUCCGCCUCACCGCGUGCACUCGUCCGGCCGGGCCUUCCUUCUGAAGAACCUCAUGCCCUUCACUGGGCGUGCUGGGGAACCAGG
RNAcentral lists this ribosomal RNA (548 nucleotides) under uncultured eukaryote. RNAcentral's name for it is "SSU rRNA". It matches the Rfam family "Eukaryotic small subunit ribosomal RNA", at positions 194 to 746 of the family's 1831-position model. The record is from RNAcentral.